This 492-nucleotide ribosomal RNA is filed under the name uncultured bacterium. Its description in RNAcentral is "partial 16S ribosomal RNA". It matches the Rfam family "Bacterial small subunit ribosomal RNA", at positions 30 to 507 of the family's 1533-position model. The record is from RNAcentral.
AUUGAACGCUGGCGGCAUGCUUUACACAUGCAAGUCGAACGGUAACAGGCCUUCGGGUGCUGACGAGUGGCGGACGGGUGCGUAAUGCAUCGGAACGUGCCCAGAGGUGGGGGAUAACGCAGCGAAAGCUGUGCUAAUACCGCAUGUGAUCUGAGUAUGAAAGCGGGGGACCAGGCAGCAAUGUUUGGCCUCGCGCCUUUGGAGCGGCCGAUGUCAGAUUAGGUAGUUGGUGGGGUAAAGGCCUACCAAGCCGACGAUCUGUAGCUGGUCUGAGAGGACGACCAGCCACACUGGGACUGAGACACGGCCCAGACUCCUACGGGAGGCAGCAGUGGGGAAUUUUGGACAAUGGGCGCAAGCCUGAUCCAGCAAUGCCGCGUGCGGGAAGAAGGCCUUCGGGUUGUAAACCGCUUUUGUACGGAACGAAAAGGCUCUGGCUAAUACCUGGGGCUGAUGACGGUACCGUAAGAAUAAGCACCGGCUAACUACGUG